Molecule: unclassified non-coding RNA, 427 nt
Filed under: Hevea brasiliensis (rubber tree)
Lineage: Eukaryota; Viridiplantae; Streptophyta; Magnoliopsida; Malpighiales; Euphorbiaceae
Source: RNAcentral
CGUAUCGGUGUCGGUUUCCACCCGUGAUUGCUCACACCGGUGGCCUCUCAUCGUCUGGGAUUCUUCCAGAAGCGUCCGAGAUUAAAAAGCUAUUUUUCUACCCAAAAAAAAAACACUAUACUAUUUGGGAAAAACUUGCCUCGUUAUCAACUCAAUAUAUAAAUGUUUAGAAUUUUCAUUUUUAUCUUAUUAUAUAUUGUGUCCUAAUUUUAAGGUGCAUGGAAAUCGAAUUUAAAUAAAAAGAAUAUCUAUUUGUUUAGAGAGGGAAAAUUUUUCUCGAUUGAUCCCUUUGCUUGAAACUCUUGUUGGAUUUUCGAUGGUUGUUCUUUGCCCGUGAGUUGGGGAUGGCUUUCAUAUUCCUCAUUACGUUGUGGGUUCCUUCAUUUGAGACUCUUGUCGGAUUUCCACUAGCCACCCUAUGGGUGGG